ACUAACUAAAGAAAUUGAAUUAACUGCCCUUUUUAAUAAAAUAUCGGUAAGAAAAUAGAAAUAAUCAUUUUAAAUGUCAAUAUGUUUUACACUCAAUUUAUUAUGUAAAGUGAAUAUAUAAAAACAUUGUUAUGACAUUGUUGUUGUUAUAGACUAUAAAUGUUUUAAAAACUUCAUUAUGCAACUGUACGUACUUUGUAUGUUUUUACAUAGUUUUACAUUACACUUUUUGUAAAAAAUUAAUUAAAUGUGAUACAUUUUUUUUUUUUUUUUUUCCAACAUGGCUGCCCUAUAAUAUUAGGUUGGCGCUAAAACAAUUAACUUAGAAGAAGCAUUGGACAUAAUAUACCAAUUGGGCUAUUAUCCUUCCAAAGAAAACAUAGAUGAAUUUGUUUAUACUACAAAUGGUAUUUACUCUUUGUCUAACAUUAAAAAAUUUUGCAAUAAACUUGAAUCAGUUGAUUGCUCUACCGAAGGAUUAAUAGACGUGUUUAACUAUUAUGACAUAAAUAAAACAGGUAAAAUAUCAAAAGAAGUAAUUAAGAUGUUAUUUACUACUGUUGGUUCUAAAUUAUCAAAUUCAGAGAUGGAUAUCAUUAUCAGGUAUAUAAAAUUAAUGCGUGAUAGAAAAGAAAAAAAAAAAAAUAUAUAUAUAUAUAUAUAUAUAUAUAUAAGUCGCAAGACUGUUAAAUACAAAUUUUUUAUUUAUUACCACUUUUAUUUUUAUACAACAAAAGUAAAUUAUGCAACGCGGACGAACAAGUAGAUUAUAAGGAUUUUUUAAACAAGUAAAAAUAUACUUACUAUACACAUUUGAAUGUACAUAUGCAUUAGCUUCAAAUGUAUAAAUGUACAUGUUAACAUAUAUAUACACAUAUAUGAAAUUUAUUUUUUAUAGGUUAUUAAAUCAAUGAUAUAAAAACAUUCUCUGUGUUACACACACGCACAUGUUCUAUAGUUAAACUUUCUGCUUAUGCAAAAAAAAAAAAAAUAAGAAAAUCCGUUUAAGGAUUUGGUAACAGCCAGAAUGGAUUAUUUACAUUUUUUUUUAUCUUCGUUUUAUGCCACAUUUUCAUUGUUUUUGUUUUUUUUGUUAUAGAAUUUACAUUUUCAAAAAUGUACCAUACAAAAUAAUAAAAUAACAAAAAUUUUAUACA
This 1157-nucleotide long non-coding RNA is filed under the name Piliocolobus tephrosceles (Ugandan red Colobus). RNAcentral's name for it is "lncRNA (ENSPTEG00000006590.1)". The record is from RNAcentral. Lineage: Eukaryota; Metazoa; Chordata; Mammalia; Primates; Cercopithecidae.